AGAGAAAAUGAUGGUGCAGCCGAAACUGAGCUGCAGGAGGGUGAGUCUGAAGUCUCGUCGAGAGCAAUAAGCAUGUAAGAUUAUUAGAACCAGAGUCUUAGGAUUUCAUACAUGGUUAAAAUUCCAUUUGUUGUAAAAUGUAAAUUCAUAAAACAGGGUGUUGAUCCUCUUGUAAAACAACAUAGCAAUCUGCUUCCAGGAAAGUCAUAGAAAAU
This 215-nucleotide unclassified non-coding RNA is filed under the name Hevea brasiliensis (rubber tree). Lineage: Eukaryota; Viridiplantae; Streptophyta; Magnoliopsida; Malpighiales; Euphorbiaceae. The record is from RNAcentral.